This 391-nucleotide ribosomal RNA is filed under the name Acidimicrobiaceae bacterium. Its description in RNAcentral is "bacterial SSU rRNA". It matches the Rfam family "Bacterial small subunit ribosomal RNA", at positions 1 to 392 of the family's 1533-position model. The record is from RNAcentral. Lineage: Bacteria; Bacillati; Actinomycetota; Acidimicrobiia; Acidimicrobiales; Acidimicrobiaceae.
UUGACGGAGAGUUUGAUCCUGGCUCAGGACGAACGCUGGCGGCGUGCUUAAUACAUGCAAGUCGAACGCUCUCGACCUUCGGGUCACUGAGAGAGUGGCGAACGGGUGCGUAACACGUGAGAAACCUACCCCGAAGACGGGAAUAGCCCGAGGAAACUCGGAUUAAUACCCGAUAUCUUCACACUGUCGCAUGGCAGAGUGAAGAAAGUUCAGGCGCUUCGGGAGGGUCUCGCGGCCUAUCAGCUUGUUGGUGAGGUAACGGCUCACCAAGGCAUCGACGGGUAGCUGGUCUGAGAGGAUGAUCAGCCACACUGGGACUGAGACACGGCCCAGACUCCUACGGGAGGCAGCAGUAGGGAAUCUUGCGCAAUGGGCGAAAGCCUGACGCAGC